CGGAGGUAGAAUCUAGGAUAGUUUAGGAUGUAGUUCAUCUAAAUGUAACCUGCAAUUGUGUAAGAUCAUACUCUCUUUAUAGUGUUCAUUCAAUUCAAUUCUGUUUCUAAUGCUUUACAAUCCUUCAUUAGUGUUGUAAUGAUUUUGAGUUAAGUCACGUGCGAGAGUAUUGAUUUAAUGUCUGAACUGAAUUGUAUUGAGCACUCGAGUGUCUCCGGUCGAGAGAUU
RNAcentral lists this long non-coding RNA (228 nucleotides) under Trifolium pratense (red clover). Its description in RNAcentral is "long non-coding RNA (TPRA_LNC007365)". The record is from RNAcentral. Lineage: Eukaryota; Viridiplantae; Streptophyta; Magnoliopsida; Fabales; Fabaceae.